Molecule: non-coding RNA, 45 nt
Organism: Schistosoma mansoni
Lineage: Eukaryota; Metazoa; Platyhelminthes; Trematoda; Strigeidida; Schistosomatidae
Source: Rfam
ACCCAGCUGACCAGACCCAAAUAGGACGAAACGCGCAUCCUGGAU